Rosa rugosa (rugosa rose) is the source of this 1661-nucleotide long non-coding RNA. RefSeq lists it as uncharacterized. The transcript is spliced from 6 exons. NCBI's taxonomy places the organism in Eukaryota, Viridiplantae, Streptophyta, Magnoliopsida, Rosales, Rosaceae. The record is from RefSeq and is a predicted model, not a curated record.
UUCCCUACAUAUCCAAAAGAACUGGGAAAUUUGAAUACUUUUUAGUUCUAUCCCCAAAUCACUUGAAAGUUGAAACAAAAACUUCUGUCAGCCCCAAAGCGCCAAAUCCUCCCUGUUCAUGUAAAGUUUCCCUCUACAAUUUUUGAGUAUCCCUAAAGUUUCCCUCUACAAUUUUUGAGUAUCCCCAAAUCUUCUCUCUGCAACAGUCGAGAUUUAUACCGAUAUGGCAAUAUACCAAAUUCACAUUCCCUCUAAUCCUAUUCACUCCAUCAAACCUAAUAUUCGUAUUAGUCGGCAGAAAGGAAAAAAACCUGUGUUCCUCUCUAAUCAUACGAACACCCAUUGUCCAUCCAUCACUGAUAUCGUCAUCUUUUCCAUAGUCUUCUUCCGCUGCUCUUAAGUGGUUCUGCUAUUGCCAAGCCUCCGAGUUACUGCCGCUUUGAGUACGCAAAGUUCUCAGAUGACUUGAUUGUUGAGAAUUGGUGACCAAGCUUGGAAAGAUGAAGUAGUUUGUGAGAUCAAUUUUGAACUUGCAUCUUGAUCUAAUUUCAGAGCAAAGCUGCAUUGUAUAAGGCAUUGAUCCUAGGUACGAACGUUCAGUUAUCAGAGAAGGUAUUCUGCAUUAACCAUAAAUUAUUAUGGUGGUUUUAAGUUGCAUGUGUCGUUACGAUACUGAUAUCAGGAACUGAGGGUUCCAUAUUAACUUUGAAACAUGGAGUUUAGGCAUAAUCGGCACUUGGGCAGGCAACAUACCUUGUGUGCAGACUAGUAGUAAUUCUCAUGCUUGUUCAAUUGUCCUGGUCUGCAAAUUCAUAAAAAACAGUACCAUUAACAUAGCCUAUAGUCUAUGAAACCAACAUAUAUAACAGAAAAAAAUUAAGAAUUCAAUGUGAAAUAUCGACGAGUAUAAUUCGAUAGUAUUGAGUUCUACUCAUGAGUUGUUAAUGAACAUUAUGACGAAAGCCCCAACAUGAAAUAAAAAAAAAUUCACAUAAUAAGUCUUGGCUGGCCAUGUUAUUCCAAAACUUUCUUGUACUUCCAUGCAGAUCAUCAAUAUGUCCCCCUGAGAGAUUGCUUAAGACAAGGAACAGAAGUUCAAGAAAGCCUGUGGAAAAGCAUGACCUGAACAAGAGUGAGGGGUAAACUGAAUUUCUAAUUGCAUGUCGGUGGCAUUGAGAGACGCUUGAUUUAGAUUACGAGAAUCUUUCCAUAAAUUUUUCUGGAGCAAACUUUGAUUGGAUUGGAAAGCGCUCUAAGGAUGUUUAAUGCCCAAAAAGGAAGGAAUCGAAAAAAUGUCAUUUGGAAAAUCAUCAGUUCAACAACCAAAGUUACAAUCAAGAAGAGAUAGAUGAUGUUCGAGUAGAGCGAGUAGAGUGGGCUGACCUUGUUGAAACAUUACUCCAAGAUGAUGUAGAAUAGUUUGGUAAUUGGUAUAUUUUGCAAAGUAUAUAUUAAGCUGAGUUUUUGUGUAUGCCCAUGUAAAGUUUUAGAUCAGCUAUAGCUUUUUGUAAGCACUAGAAGUACAUGUAAUCUAAUCUCACCAAGACUCGCAGUUGGCAAUGUGUAUUUUGGAUGCCACGAGUCUUGGGAUAAUUUGUACACAUUGCUUGGAAUCUCCAUGACAAAAAUAGUGCGUCCUAAUAGUUAAUGGAAGACAUUAA